GUUUGUCUGAAACUGCUUUGUGAACAGGUGUACAAAAAAUCCAACUAUGCCACAACCCUGCUGCGAAAAACAAGAUUGCUGCAAGGACGGAAAGUGUUCAUGCCAGAAUUGUUGUAACGACAAGAAGGAAUGUUGCAAACCUGAAAACUCAUCCUGCAAGAAAUGAAUAGAAUGGCUGGAACAGCGUUAGUGAUGUAAUAAAUUUCCAAAUAAAGUAUAUUUUAUAUUAA
Cimex lectularius (bed bug) is the source of this 230-nucleotide long non-coding RNA. RefSeq lists it as uncharacterized. The record is from RefSeq and is a predicted model, not a curated record. Lineage: Eukaryota; Metazoa; Arthropoda; Insecta; Hemiptera; Cimicidae. The transcript is spliced from 3 exons.